AUAGUAUAUAUAUUAUUAUUAUUAAUAUUUAGAGUUUGUAAUUUAUUGGUUUCAAUAAUCAUUUUGUUGUUUGUGUAUAUGGUUUAUGAUCAAAUUGUUUUUAUGAUAGUUUAUUAGUACUGUAUUGGAAUUAUAUAAUUAUUUUUUGUAGUAUAUUUUAUUUGUUGUACCUUGUGUAUCAGGAUAUAUUAAAAUUUUGUAUAUAUAUAUAAUUCUCGAUUUUAUAAGAGUUAAUUGAUUAUUUUGAAUUAUUGUUAUAUAAUUAUUUAUAAUAUUUAGUUAGUAAUGAAAUGUUAUUCGUUUAUAAUGGUAUCUAGUUGUUCAGGAAAUAAAUUUAAUUUAUAUAUUUUUUAUUAUUGGUUUUUGUUUUAAUUUUUGUUUUAGUUAAUAUGAUUAUUUAGUGGGAUUAGCUUCUAAAUAGAUAUUCUAUAAUUUGUUAUUUAUUUAAGUUUUAUGGGAUUAGUGGUGUCUAUUGUUUUGAUAAUAUAAAAUUUUUAUUUAAUUGUUUUUGUUUUUUUUAAAGUGAUUUAGAUGUUUUACUGAUUUUUAAUUUAUUUAAUAAUAAAUUAUUUAUUAUUAUGGUAUAAUUAGUAUAUAAUAUAUUUAUGUAUUGAAUUAAUAAGGGGUAAUUAUAUUUAAAUAAUUUGGCAAAUAUUAUGUUCGAUUGUUUAUCAAAAACAUUGUUUUUUGUUUAUAUUAUUGGGAAAUAAGACCUGCCCACUGAAAUUUAUUAAAUGGCCGCGGUAUUUUGACCGUGCAAAGGUAGCAUAAUAAUUAGUUUUUUUAUUGAGGACUGGAAUGAAUGGUUAAACGAGAUGUAUUCUGUUUUGUGUAUAAAUUUGAUUGAAAUUGAUUAUUGAGUUAAAAGGCUUAAAAUGUUGUUGUGGGACAAUAAGACCCUAUAGAGUUUUACAAAAUUAUUUUUGUUUGUGUUGGUUUAUUAUUUAUAAUUAUAUUAUUGUUUUAUUGGGGUGAUAGAAAGAUAAAUUUAACUCUUUUUUUUUUGAAAUAUUUAUUUAUAGAUUUAUGAUCCAUUAUUAUUGAUUAUAAUACUAAAUUACCUUAGGGAUAACAGCGUUAUUUUUUUUGAGAGUUCAUAUUGACAAUAAAGAUUGCGACCUCGAUGUUGGAUUAGGAUAGAUUUUGGGUGUAGAAGUUCAUAAUAUUAAGUCUGUUCGACUUUUAAAUUCUUACAUGAUCUGAGUUCAAACCGGUGUAAGCCAGGUUGGUUUUUAUCUAUAAUUAUUAUAUUAAAUAUUUUAGUACGAGAGGACCAAAUAUUUUAAAUAAUUUUUAUUAUAUUAUAUAUUUAUUU
Molecule: ribosomal RNA, 1315 nt
Filed under: Allacta xizangensis
Lineage: Eukaryota; Metazoa; Arthropoda; Insecta; Blattodea; Pseudophyllodromiidae
Description: 16S ribosomal RNA
Rfam family: Archaeal large subunit ribosomal RNA (bases 1068-1227)
Source: RNAcentral